AUACGGAGGGUGCAAGCGUUAAUCGGAAUUACUGGGCGUAAAGAGUACGUAGGUGGUUUGUUAAGUCAGAUGAGAAAGCCCCGGGCUCAACCUGGGAACUGCAUUUGAAACUGGCAAGCUAGAGUAUGGUAGAGGGGGGUAGAAUUUCUAGUGUAGCGGUGAAAUGCGUAGAUAUUAGAAGGAAUACCAGUGGCGAAGGCGGCCCCCUGGACCAAUACUGACACUGAGGUACGAAAGCGUGGGUAGCGAACAGGAUUAGAUACCCUAGUAGUCC
RNAcentral lists this ribosomal RNA (274 nucleotides) under uncultured bacterium. RNAcentral's name for it is "partial 16S ribosomal RNA". It matches the Rfam family "Bacterial small subunit ribosomal RNA", at positions 523 to 796 of the family's 1533-position model. The record is from RNAcentral.